GGCCACGCAGCCUUUGGAGCCCACAAGGAUCACUUCAAACGAGAAGGACUUGGAGAGCCUGAAGAAGGAGGGGACUGCCCUUAUCCGCUUGCUGGAGGCCAUGGCCCCACCUGGCAGCCCCUAUAACAACAGCGUUGUUUCCUUGGCUAAAGAAAUCCUCGAAAUAGUCAGACGCCAAAAAUGAAGGCGACCAGGAAGGUUGUCCAGCAGCGCCAGCCCCUGGGUCUGGAGGACAGGACCUGGCCCUCUGAUCGCCAGCUGCAUUUCCCGGAAUCUGGUUCCAGCGGUCAGUU
RNAcentral lists this long non-coding RNA (293 nucleotides) under Sarcophilus harrisii (Tasmanian devil). RNAcentral describes it as "lncRNA (ENSSHAG00000027575.1)". Lineage: Eukaryota; Metazoa; Chordata; Mammalia; Dasyuromorphia; Dasyuridae. The record is from RNAcentral.